AAAACUUUCCACAGAAGUGUAACCUGAGUACAUGAUCACCCUUCCAAUAAAACAAACACAGCUUCAACCACAGUGAAUGAUAUCGAAAAUCACAAAAUAUAGACGCCAUUUUACAAGAAUCUAUCAAAGAUGACAAAGACCAAGCUUAGACAACACAUUUCUUGAACCAAAAUUCUCAAGACAACUAUUAGAGUUGAUAGACAGAAAACAGAUGUAUGGUAUCCUUUUCCUAUGUGUUCUUCUUGUUAUCAGAAUGUGACAGGGUAUCGUCAACUGAUUGCAAUUGGCUUCGAAGAUUCUGAUUCUCUUCCAGGAUCCUAUCGUAUUCAAGCAGCAAUUUUUCAGAUUGACCCUUGAGAGAAUCAGAAUUUGCUCUCUGAGAUUGCACCUCCUUUUCUUUUGCCUCCGAUUCUGAUUCCAGCUGCUUCAUCCUGUUCCUCAAGGAGGAGAUUUCAUCCCUUAAGGUACUGGCCUCGCCGUUCUUGAUGUUGUCCAAUGUACGAUCCUGCUUCUUCACAGCCUCCAUGGUCUUCCUUAGUAAUCGAAGCUCCCUUAUGUAAUGGUGUAGCCUGUCAAUCAUCAGUCCGAGGAAUAGAGAGAAUCCCAUAAGAGCAGCUUCAAGAAUCUGAUGAGCAAGAAGGAUUUGAUCGGUAGGAUUCACAGAAUCAGCAGGCCGAGACUGCAAUUCCUUAAUAGAAUAAACAGUAUAAAUCAUGAUCACAAGAACAGUAGCUGCUACAGAUUUAACAAUCAACGGUCCACUGCCUCUUUUAACACGAUCAAGACUCAUAAUUAUCAGUUUCCUCAAAGGGGUUCUGAACAGAAACAUCAAAAUCAACCCCAUUUCCAAGAACACCACCAUGAACAAAAGCUGCACUUGAGGUAACAUUUUGAAUACACCACCAAAUCAACUGCUUUUUUUUUCUGUGAUUCAACAAUUUCACCAAAAGGGGCUCUUCUUAACUAGUUAAGAAGGAUUUUUGUACAAUAAAGUUUGAUUUUUGGUGAAAAGGGUGUUGAUUUUUUUCAGAAAAAACUGUGAAUACAGUGUACAGAUGGUGUUGAUUCUGUGUAUACACG
Molecule: unclassified non-coding RNA, 1080 nt
Filed under: Hevea brasiliensis (rubber tree)
Lineage: Eukaryota; Viridiplantae; Streptophyta; Magnoliopsida; Malpighiales; Euphorbiaceae
Source: RNAcentral